Long non-coding RNA from Thalassophryne amazonica, 133 nucleotides. RefSeq lists it as uncharacterized. Lineage: Eukaryota; Metazoa; Chordata; Actinopteri; Batrachoidiformes; Batrachoididae. The transcript is spliced from 3 exons. The record is from RefSeq and is a predicted model, not a curated record.
GGUGCAGUUGAAGAAAGGAGUGCACGAGAGAGCAGGCUCCAGACCUUCUGAAUCAUUCAUAAGGGAGAUCCUCCAACGUCAAACUGGCUGGAUGGGAAAGAGGAGAUGUUGAGGUGCAUUUGAGCUGAGGGAG